Molecule: non-coding RNA, 98 nt
Filed under: Tauraco erythrolophus (red-crested turaco)
Lineage: Eukaryota; Metazoa; Chordata; Aves; Musophagiformes; Musophagidae
Description: NiCo sequence
Rfam family: NiCo (Nickel/Cobalt) riboswitch aptamer
Source: RNAcentral
ACACCACGACGAGAGCAUGCAGGCUCCGAGCGGGGCUGGAGCCGGCUGGCAAGGGCCGGCACAGGUUAUGCAGCUCCUGGUAAACCUGUGGGACUCCC